UACGUAGGGUGCGAGCGUUAAUCGGAAUUACUGGGCGUAAAGCGUGCGCAGGCUGUUUUGUAAGUCAGAUGUGAAAUCCCCGAGCUCAACUUGGGAACUGCGUUUGAAACUACAAGACUAGAAUAGGUCAGAGGGGGGUAGAAUUCCACGUGUAGCAGUGAAAUGCGUAGAGAUGUGGAGGAAUAUCAAUGGCGAAGGCAGCCCCCUGGGAUCAUAUUGACGCUCAUGCACGAAAGCGUGGGGAGCAAACAGGAUUAGAUACCCUGGUAGUCCACGCCCUAAACGAUGUCUACUAGUUGUUGGUGGAGUAAAAUCCAUGAGUAACGCAGCUAACGCGUGAAGUAGACCGCCUGGGGAGUACGGUCGCAAGAUUAAA
This 376-nucleotide ribosomal RNA is filed under the name uncultured bacterium. RNAcentral describes it as "bacterial SSU rRNA". It matches the Rfam family "Bacterial small subunit ribosomal RNA", at positions 524 to 898 of the family's 1533-position model. The record is from RNAcentral.